CCAAGCAUCGGGGAACCUGAGUUGGCGAACCCGAAAGUCUAGACACGAUGGAGAAGAGAGAGCAGAGAAGACCGGAUCAGCAAGCUGCUCUUAGACAAGCUGUUGGCUCACUUCAAGGCCAAUGGACACCGACACAAUGACACAACUCCUCUUGCCUACCCGGACUUGACACCCACUCAGCCGGCAGCUGGUAUCAUCUCCAAUGCACUUAAUACUGAAAGUGUCCCUGGAAUGGCCAAUGAGGAGAGACAGGAAACUUCACGGGUGAAUGGAUCCCAGAAAUAUUCCUGCCAGGAUCCUGCAUGUCAUCUCUACAGGCCAGGACAGAGGAUCAUGCAUUUACUCUGAGGAUGACAUGGGAGGAUCAGUGGGUGUUGAAUGUUGCUGCAAUAGUCUGUGUUUAGGGCACCGGCUUCCUGUUGCAUUCUCUGAAAUGGUGGUUGUUUGGUUCUUAACUGCAGAAAUAUCUUUUCCAGAGUGGUGGAGUGUGGCAGAGAGGGAGGCUGGAUAGUCGAAAAGUGAGAGGGUUUUUUUUCUGGUUUUCCAAAUCAACAGACUCAUUCUAUCACUCUGGGGAUCCUGUGUGAUGUUUCUAGAAAGAUGAACACUUCUUCCUUGCCUAUGCGAGAACUGUUACCACUUAAUAAAUCUCAUCUGGGCGGGGGCCCGCCAGGUGUGGAGUGCAGCCCC
Ornithorhynchus anatinus (platypus) is the source of this 690-nucleotide long non-coding RNA. RefSeq lists it as uncharacterized. The transcript has 3 exons. The record is from RefSeq and is a predicted model, not a curated record. Lineage: Eukaryota; Metazoa; Chordata; Mammalia; Monotremata; Ornithorhynchidae.